GUGUGGACCUUGGAGACCCUGUAGGCUACUGAAAGGACUUUGGAUUUGUCCCCGUGAGAAAGGAGAGCCAUGGGAGAGUAAAUCAAAUCCCUCAGAAGCCCAGAAAGCAGCUGUCCUCAGCUCACUCCUCUCACCGCAGAUCACCCAUUCACCAGAUCCCAGGUACCGAACUGAAGAUGGUAGAGGAAAAGUUUUUCCUGCUUAACAUAUUCAACUCUCUACCCUCAAUAUAUUUGGCUGUUAUUAUUCUGGUUUACAUGUAUCAUAAUUUAACCAGUUCCCUACUGGUGGAUGUCUAGGUUUCCCCGAUGUUUUGCUAUUAAAAACACACAUGGUACACGUUUUUCUAGAUCGGGCAGGGUUUGCCCAUCUCCACUUCAAGCAGCACAACCACCAUCUGCCAGUGUUGGGGUUUACUCUACAGUCAGCAAACACUGUUGGCACAUCCAGUCAGAGAAACUGAAAACAGAAAGCAGAAAUGGCUUACACUGGACUAAUUUUAGAAUUUCUAAGUACAUUUAAGUGAUGACUCAUCCCACUUAAAUUCAAAGCUGUUUGUUGUGCCAUCUGGCUCAUCAGAACAUGAAAGACUUCUCCUGCAACCUGGAAAAAGGCCAGAGAGGAAGACGAAUGGAGGAGUCAACCCCAUGGGAAUGCUGACUGAGUGUUAGCUCCCCGUGGACAGGAAUGUCACUGCAUGAAUAGGCUGCAGUAUGUCUGGGCCUGUUUUUUUUUCAUAAAAUGUUCCCCCCCUGUUUUUUUCUUAUUCCAAAGCAAUGCAACAAAAAGCACAAGAAAUCAAAAAGGAAAAAAUAGAUAUUGGACUUCAUCAAAAUGAAAAACUUUUGUGCUUCAAAGGAAAUGGAAAGAAAGUGAAAAAACAACUGAGGGAAUGGAAGAAAAUAUUCUCAAAUCAUCAUCUAACAAAGGUUGUGUUAGUCUGUUCAGGUUGCUGUAACAAAAUAUCAUUUCAGGUCACCAGGUGGCUUAAACAACAGAUUCAGUUGGCCCUCCGUAUCCAUGGGUUUCAGGCCUUCGACUUCAACCAACCUCAAAUAAAAAAUAUUUUUAAAACCCAAUACGGCCGAGUGCGGUGCCUCAUGCCUGUAAUCAUAGCACUUUGGGAGGCCGAGGCGGGGGGAUCACUUGAGGUCAG
RNAcentral lists this long non-coding RNA (1156 nucleotides) under Homo sapiens (human). Its description in RNAcentral is "non-protein coding lnc-FAM209B-1:2". Lineage: Eukaryota; Metazoa; Chordata; Mammalia; Primates; Hominidae. The record is from RNAcentral.